UGAGUCGUCCAGACGGUCGCGUCAGUUUUACUGCCGAGGAACGUCCGGGCUCCUAAGAGCACGAUGGUGGCUAACGGCCACCCGGGGUGACCCGCGAGCUAGUGCCACAGAGAACAGACCGCCAACGGAUAGUUGGUAAGGGUGAAACGGUGGAGUAAGAGACCACCAGAGGUGAAGGUGACUUCAUCUGCUAGGUAAACCUCAUCGGGAGCAAGACCAAACAGUGGACGCUAAUUAGCUCUUAUAGUCCACGGGUAGGUUGCUAGAGCCUUCUGGUAACAGUUGCGCCUAGAUAAAUGGCCGUCCGCGCCGGCAGGCAUUAUGCCUUACCGGCGCGACAGAACCCGGCGUAUCGGGCGGCUCAUCCC
Actinomyces sp. is the source of this 368-nucleotide non-coding RNA. It matches the Rfam family "Bacterial RNase P class A". From Rfam's summary of the family: Ribonuclease P (RNase P) is a ubiquitous endoribonuclease, found in archaea, bacteria and eukarya as well as chloroplasts and mitochondria. The record is from Rfam. NCBI's taxonomy places the organism in Bacteria, Bacillati, Actinomycetota, Actinomycetes, Actinomycetales, Actinomycetaceae.